AGGGGUGAUGACCCGGUGGGAAGGGCGCUCGUCUCCAAAACGAGUUCAAGCAGGUUCGAAUCCUGUCACCCCUGCCA
RNAcentral lists this transfer RNA (77 nucleotides) under Terriglobia bacterium. RNAcentral describes it as "tRNA-Trp". It matches the Rfam family "tRNA". From Rfam's summary of the family: Transfer RNA (tRNA) molecules are approximately 80 nucleotides in length. Their secondary structure includes four short double-helical elements and three loops (D, anti-codon, and T loops). Further hydrogen bonds mediate the characteristic L-shaped molecular structure. tRNAs have two regions of fundamental functional importance: the anti-codon, which is responsible for specific mRNA codon recognition, and the 3' end, to which the tRNAs corresponding amino acid is attached (by aminoacyl-tRNA synthetases). tRNAs cope with the degeneracy of the genetic code in two manners: having more than one tRNA (with a specific anti-codon) for a particular amino acid; and 'wobble' base-pairing, i.e. permitting non-standard base-pairing at the 3rd anti-codon position. Lineage: Bacteria; Pseudomonadati; Acidobacteriota; Terriglobia. The record is from RNAcentral.